CGCAGGUCGGCAGUUGGCUCCUUUUGGUGUCAGGUGAUUUGACUGGGCGGGUCCAAUACCAGCCGGACUCACCUUGCCUUUAGGCUUGGGGUUCUGCCGGCUGUGAGGGUUGGCUGUUUAACUCACUUUAAGCAAUAAAUUCUGAAUGCAGAUCUACUGGCUGGCUUUGCUGGCUGUAGACUGAUUAAUACAGA
This 194-nucleotide small nucleolar RNA is filed under the name uncultured Trebouxia photobiont. RNAcentral's name for it is "internal transcribed spacer 1". Lineage: Eukaryota; Viridiplantae; Chlorophyta; Trebouxiophyceae; Trebouxiales; Trebouxiaceae. The record is from RNAcentral.